AGGAUACUCCCUCCGUCCCAUAAUUCUUGUCUCAAAUUUGCCCAAAUAUGGAUGUAUCUAUUCCUAAAAAGCGUCUAGGUACAUGUAAUAUUUCGACAAGAAUUAUGGGACGGAGGGAGUACCUG
Non-coding RNA from Brachypodium distachyon (stiff brome), 125 nucleotides. Lineage: Eukaryota; Viridiplantae; Streptophyta; Magnoliopsida; Poales; Poaceae. The record is from Rfam.